This is a long non-coding RNA of Oryzias melastigma (Indian medaka), 511 nucleotides long. RefSeq lists it as uncharacterized. The transcript has 2 exons. Lineage: Eukaryota; Metazoa; Chordata; Actinopteri; Beloniformes; Adrianichthyidae. The record is from RefSeq and is a predicted model, not a curated record.
AAUUAACACAUGUCAAGUAUUGCUCACAAUUAUGUGUAUUUAUGAUGAGGAGCAAGUCGAAUGUCAAGAAGGUUGCAUCGUUUUCUUUUCAUUUUUUCAAUUAAUAUCUCAAAUAGAUUUGAUAGAUUUAUGUAUUUUUAUUUUAAAUGCCUUUUAUUUGCCUUUUAUAUCAACCAAACAAUCUAUCAAUGAUUUGUUUGUGUGUUUCUGCAGUUGCUUGUAGGAUUCUCAGAAGUCUGAUUGACCCAGAAAGGCUUUAGAUUUAGGUUUUAGUUGCAUCCCCUUGAAAUUUCAGUAACAUUUAUGAGGAUAAUUCUUAAUUCUUUGAUUUCUGCAGAUAACUUCAUAAGAGAGUUAAAUCAGAGCGUUCGACAACGCAAUUUGGAGAAACAACAGCAGGAGAUUCCUUCAACUCCUUCACAACCACCUUUGAAGCCCAGUCGCUCUAUGGUUCAAACUCCGAAAAACCAAACACACUCAGAGGAAGAGGAAGUCAAUGGAGAUGCAGAGG